RNAcentral lists this ribosomal RNA (857 nucleotides) under uncultured bacterium. RNAcentral describes it as "bacterial SSU rRNA". It matches the Rfam family "Bacterial small subunit ribosomal RNA", at positions 649 to 1504 of the family's 1533-position model. The record is from RNAcentral.
CAGAAGAGGACAGUGGAACUCCAUGUGUAGCGGUGAAAUGCGUAGAUAUAUGGAAGAACACCAGUGGCGAAGGCGGCUGUCUGGUCUGUAACUGACGCUGAGGCUCGAAAGUAUGGGUAGCAAACAGGAUUAGAUACCCUGGUAGUCCAUGCCGUAAACGAUGAGUGCUAAGUGUUGGAGGGUUUCCGCCCUUCAGUGCUGCAGCUAACGCAUUAAGCACUCCGCCUGGGGAGUACGACCGCAAGGUUGAAACUCAAAGGAAUUGACGGGGGCCCGCACAAGCGGUGGAGCAUGUGGUUUAAUUCGAAGCUACGCGAAGAACCUUACCAGGUCUUGACAUCUUCUGCCAAUCUUAGAGAUAAGACGUUCCCUUCGGGGACAGAAUGACAGGUGGUGCAUGGUUGUCGUCAGCUCGUGUCGUGAGAUGUUGGGUUAAGUCCCGCAACGAGCGCAACCCUUAUUAUCAGUUGCCAGCAUUCAGUUGGGCACUCUGGUGAGACUGCCGGUGACAAACCGGAGGAAGGUGGGGAUGACGUCAAAUCAUCAUGCCCCUUAUGACCUGGGCUACACACGUGCUACAAUGGACGGUACAACGAGUUGCGAAGUCGUGAGGCUAAGCUAAUCUCUUAAAGCCGUUCUCAGUUCGGAUUGUAGGCUGCAACUCGCCUACAUGAAGUCGGAAUCGCUAGUAAUCGCGGAUCAGCAUGCCGCGGUGAAUACGUUCCCGGGCCUUGUACACACCGCCCGUCACACCAUGAGAGUUUGUAACACCCAAAGUCGGUGGGGUAACCUUUUAGGAACCAGCCGCCUAAGGUGGGACAGAUGAUUAGGGUGAAGUCGUAANCAAGGUAGCCGUA